RNAcentral lists this unclassified non-coding RNA (279 nucleotides) under uncultured fungus. Its description in RNAcentral is "partial contains small subunit ribosomal RNA, internal transcribed spacer 1, and 5.8S ribosomal RNA". The stretch from base 1 to 73 matches the Rfam family "Eukaryotic small subunit ribosomal RNA", at positions 1759 to 1831 of the family's 1831-position model. The record is from RNAcentral. Lineage: Eukaryota; Fungi.
GCAAACUUGGUCAUUUAGAGGAAGUAAAAGUCGUAACAAGGUUUCCGUAGGUGAACCUGCGGAAGGAUCAUUCACAAUAAGUGUUUUAUGGCACUUUAAUUCCAUAUCCACCUUGUGUGCAACGUAGUUCGUUUUUCCUUCUCUGUUUGAAGGAACUCGAACAAAACAUCAACAUUUUAAUUAUCAACAGAUCGUCUGAAGUAUUAUAUGAAUAAAUCAAUUCAAAAUACAACUUUCAACAACGGAUCUCUUGGCUCUCGCAUCGAUGAAGAACGCAGC